This 917-nucleotide ribosomal RNA is filed under the name Nocardiopsis sp. Sp080513IM-04. Its description in RNAcentral is "bacterial SSU rRNA". It matches the Rfam family "Bacterial small subunit ribosomal RNA", at positions 25 to 945 of the family's 1533-position model. Lineage: Bacteria; Bacillati; Actinomycetota; Actinomycetes; Streptosporangiales; Nocardiopsidaceae. The record is from RNAcentral.
CAGGACGAACGCUGGCGGCGUGCUUAACACAUGCAAGUCGAGCGGUAAGGCCCUUCGGGGUACACGAGCGGCGAACGGGUGAGUAACACGUGAGCAACCUGCCCCUGACUCCGGGAUAAGCGGUGGAAACGCCGUCUAAUACCGGAUACGACCCGCCACCUCAUGGUGGAGGGUGGAAAGUUUUUCGGUCAGGGAUGGGCUCGCGGCCUAUCAGCUUGUUGGUGGGGUAACGGCCUACCAAGGCGAUUACGGGUAGCCGGCCUGAGAGGGCGACCGGCCACACUGGGACUGAGACACGGCCCAGACUCCUGCGGGAGGCAGCAGUGGGGAAUAUUGCGCAAUGGGCGAAAGCCUGACGCAGCGACGCCGCGUGGGGGAUGACGGCCUUCGGGUUGUAAACCUCUUUUACCACCAACGCAGGCUCGAAGUUCUCUUCGGGUUGACGGUAGGUGGGGAAUAAGGACCGGCUAACUACGUGCCAGCAGCCGCGGUAAUACGUAGGGUCCGAGCGUUGUCCGGAAUUAUUGGGCGUAAAGAGCUCGUAGGCGGCGUGUCGCGUCUGCUGUGAAAGACCGGGGCUUAACUCCGGUUCUGCAGUGGAUACGGGCAUGCUAGAGGUAGGUAGGGGAGACUGGAAUUCCUGGUGUAGCGGUGAAAUGCGCAGAUAUCAGGAGGAACACCGGUGGCGAAGGCGGGUCUCUGGGCCUUACCUGACGCUGAGGAGCGAAAGCAUGGGGAGCGAACAGGAUUAGAUACCCUGGUAGUCCAUGCCGUAAACGUUGGGCGCUAGGUGUGGGGACUUUCCACGGUUUCCGCGCCGUAGCUAACGCAUUAAGCGCCCCGCCUGGNGAGUACGGCCGCAAGGCUAAAACUCAAAGGAAUUGACGGGGGCCCGCACAAGCGGCGGAGCAUGUUGC